RNAcentral lists this ribosomal RNA (461 nucleotides) under uncultured bacterium. RNAcentral describes it as "partial 16S ribosomal RNA". It matches the Rfam family "Bacterial small subunit ribosomal RNA", at positions 338 to 795 of the family's 1533-position model. The record is from RNAcentral.
CCUACGGGCGACAGCAGUGAGGAAUAUUGGUCAAUGGGCGCAAGCCUGAACCAGCCAAGUCGCGUGAGGGAUGACGGUCCUAUGGAUUGUAAACCUCUUUUGUCGGGGAGCAAGGCCCGCCACGUGUGGCGGGACGGAGAGUACCCGCAGAAAAAGCAUCGGCUAACUCCGUGCCAGCAGCCGCGGUAAUACGGAGGAUGCGAGCGUUAUCCGGAUUUAUUGGGUUUAAAGGGAGCGUAGGCCGCAUGUCAAGCGUGCUGUGAAAUGUCCGGGCCCAACCCGGGCCUUGCAGCGCGAACUGGCGGGCUUGAGUCCGCGGAAAGCAGGCGGAAUUCGUCGUGUAGCGGUGAAAUGCUUAGAUAUGACGAAGAACCCCGAUUGCGAAGGCAGCUUGCUGCAGCGGAACUGACGCUGAUGCUCGAAAGCGCGGGUAUCGAACAGGAUUAGAUACCCUAGUAGUC